This 22-nucleotide microRNA is filed under the name Magallana gigas (Pacific oyster). RNAcentral describes it as "Mgi-Mir-96-P2l_3p* (star (passenger))". Lineage: Eukaryota; Metazoa; Mollusca; Bivalvia; Ostreida; Ostreidae. The record is from RNAcentral.
AGUGAAUCUAUAGUGGCAACCG